CGGUUGUGUUAAUCGCCCCCUCCUUGCGGUUAGGCUAACUACUUCUGGCAGAACCCGCUCCCAUCGCGUUGUGACGGGCGGUGUGUACAAGACCCGGGAACGUAUUCACCGCGGCAAGCUGAUCCGCGAUUACUAGCGAUUCCGACUUCACGCAGUCGAGUUGCAGACUGCGAUCCGGACUACGACCGGGUUUCUGGGAUUAGCUCCCCCUCGCGGGUUGGCAGCCCUCUGUCCCGGCCAUUGUAUGACGUGUGUAGCCCUACCCAUAAGGGCCAUGAUGACCUGACGUCAUCCCCACCUUCCUCCGGUUUGUCACCGGCAGUCUCAUUAGAGUGCCCUUUCGUAGCAACUAAUGACAAGGGUUGCGCUCGUUGCGGGACUUAACCCAACAUCUCACGACACGAGCUGACGACGGCCAUGCAGCACCUGUGUCCAGGUUCUCUUUCGAGCACUCCCACAUCUCUGCAGGAUUCCUGGCAUGUCAAGGGUAGGUAAGGUUUUUCGCGUUGCAUCGAAUUAAACCACAUCAUCCACCGCUUGUGCGGGUCCCCGUCAAUUCCUUUUGAGUUUCAACCUUUGCGGCCGUACUCCCCCAGGCGGUCAACUUCACGCGUUAGCUACGUUACUGAGAAGAAACCCUCCCAACAACCAGUUGACAUCGUUUAGGGCGUGGAACUACCAGGGUAUCUAAUCCUGUUUGCUCCCCACGCUUUUCGUGCAUGAGCGUCAGUACAGGCCCAGGGGAAUUGCCUUCCGCAUUCGGUGUUCCUCCGCA
Molecule: ribosomal RNA, 775 nt
Filed under: Roseateles sp.
Lineage: Bacteria; Pseudomonadati; Pseudomonadota; Betaproteobacteria; Burkholderiales; Sphaerotilaceae
Description: partial 16S ribosomal RNA
Source: RNAcentral